CCGUGGGCGGGGUUCCGUCGGCGGUUGGUGUAUCGGGGGAGGCGGCAGCAGCUGCGGUGAGGGUGGUGUGUGAGGUGUUGUACCUGGAAGUGGAGGUGGUGAGUGCAGCAGCGGUUCCGGAAGUGGUGUCGCCGGCGGAGGCGGAUGUGACGUCAUCGGUGGGGUCUCCGGCCGUGUCUUCAUGGUCAAUGGCGGCGGGGCAGACAACAUCAGGUGAAGAUGUGCGUGAUUUUAGCAAGGUGCUGAAAAAUAAGUUCAGAUCAAAGAAAUACUUUGCCAAACAUCCUCGCUUGGGUUAUUUACCAGUACAAACAGUUCUAGAAGGCGAGAACCUUGAGACUGGAUCUGUUGGAGUUGCACACAGCGCAACGCGUCUUUGAUCAACACAAAUUGACACAAACCGAGCAACUUCUGAAUGUGACUGAAGUAAUCAACUGUUUAACGUCCAUUUAUGAUGUUUUGGAACAAAACCACAAGGACUUGGUCAAUGUGCCACUCUGUGUCGACAUGUGUCUGAACUGGCUGCUGAACGUAUUUGAUACGGGUAUGAGUGGAAGAAUCAGAGUGCUUUCUUUGAAAAUUGGCUUGACGUGACUCUUCAAGGAUCAUCUAGAGGAAAAAUACAAGUGGCCAGAACAAACCAGAGAUUGAUGUUGAACGCUUUGUCGAGUGGAUGAGAUUGGAGCCUCAGUCCAUGGUGUGGCUGCCUGUUCGACACCGUGUGGCAGCUGCUGAAACUGCAAAACAUCAGGCUAAGUGUAACAUCUGCAAAGAGUACCCAAUCGUAGGUUUCAGGUACCGCAGUCUCAAGCACUUCAAUUCUGACAUCUGCCAAAGCUGUUUCUUUUCGGGGCGCACAUCAAAGGGACACAAGUUACAUUGCCCCAUGGUGGAGUACUGCACUCCGAACCUACCCCGGAAGAGAGAGCCCAGAGAAUUGCCAAAGCUGUCCGCAAACAGUCAAUAGAAGUGAAAGAAACUUGGGAGCAAUUGAAAACCCAUGCGAGCAACUGGCAGAAACAGGUGGAAAAGGUGUUGGAGAAACUUCAAGAACUGCAGAAAGCUCUGGAUGAUCUUGAGGCUCAUGUGAUAACAGCUGAAGGGGUCCGCACUGAUUGACAACCUGUGGGUGAACUGCUUAUUGACUCAUUGCAGGAUCACAUUGAUAAAACCACAGAGUUACGUUCAUUGAUAAAGCAGCUGAAGCUGGUCAGACUGAGGAACUUUGCAGCGAUGACCUGGUACUGAGCUGAUGGAUCUCCGGCAACCACAACCAAUCCUGCCUUUUGCUGUCUAUAUCUCCAACUAGUCGGCCAUUUCCCACCUGAUUCCCAAUUGACUUCAGUUUUCGGAAGGCUUUUUGAUGUCAAGAGCAGGUAUUGUCCUGGUCACUUGUAAUGCUGCCAAUUCAAGAUUAACUACAUGGAUGGUCUCUAUCGGUUGCUUAAUCACCAAUGUCAGUUUGCAAUCCUGAAUCCAAUAUUGUCACUUCAUCUUUCAGUUCUGUUGAUAAGCAAAGUUUGAGAUCAACAGCUUUCAGUUUACUAUCUGGAAGUCAAUCAGUGCAGAUUUUGAUGGUAAACCAGCGUUCUGUAUGUAAAACUGCCUUGUUUAAUUAGAUUAGUUAGUUGAGAUUCAUUUUCGUGAAAUGAAUCCUAACUAAGCUUCAUCUCUUCCUCAUUCUGAACACAUGCUAUGUCAUGCAAUGGCUAUUCAAUUUUGCAUUGGUGCCGGUUCAAACCAUGUGUAUUCCAACUACGGAUUGAUACAGAUGAAAUAGUACCAUUUCCUUGUUAGUACCAUUCUCGCCGUACAGUGUUUUGGCAUUUCAUUACGUUUCUGUGUACAGUUCUGAACCAGCCCCCUUGCCCCUGAGCUUGCCAAAUGUCUCAAUGUUGUCAUGACAUUGUCAAAGAAUUCAUUUCUUGGUAGAUUCAGAGAUAAAUUAAUGUAACCUAGUAUGUGUUAAUGCCUCUGCUGUAAUCGGGCGAAAUACUCAGGCCAUUGUCUUAAUUUUUCUCUCUUGUAUUUAUGUUGACCAUGCCAUUUGCUCCACUUACUGGGAUUGGACUUGUUACAGAAGUGCUGAACGUCAACUUGCCAAAUACAAUUGGCUAAACAGUAUGAGGCCAAUCAGUCUCUUGAAACACUUUUGCUGUGCAAUCAACAUUCCAACAUUAUUUGACAAUGAAAAAUUACAUACGUGCUUCAGAAGAUUAGAUUUGAAACAGAGAUUUGUGAAUAUGAAUGGAGCUAUAUAUGUCUCCAUCUCGGGCACCAACCUCAAGUCCACCUGGACUAUCUCCAACACCUCCCUCACCUUCCUGGACCCCUCUAUCUCCAUCUCGGGCAACCACCUCGAAACUGAUAUCCAUUUCAAGCCCACCGACUCCCACAGCGACCUAGGAUACACCUCCUCCCACCCACCUUCCUGCAAAAAUUACAUCCCCUAUUCCCAAUUCCUUUGCCUUCGCCACAUCUGCUCCCAGGACGAGGCAUUCCAUUCCCGUACACCUCGGAUGUCCUCAUUUUUCAAGGACCGCAACUCCCCCCAACCCAUCCCACACCCCCGCAACCCCUCGCAGUGGUCAAGAACGCCCUCGACCGUGUCUCUCUCAUUUCCUGUGACUCAACUCUCACACCCCGUCCCCGCAAUAACCACCAAAAGAGAACCCCCUCAUCCUCACAUACCACCCUCCCAACCUCUGCCUACAAUGUAUCAUCCUCUGACAUUUCCACCAUCUGCAAUCUGACCUCACCACCAAAGACAUUUUUCC
Stegostoma tigrinum is the source of this 2777-nucleotide RNA transcript. RefSeq lists it as uncharacterized. Lineage: Eukaryota; Metazoa; Chordata; Chondrichthyes; Orectolobiformes; Stegostomatidae. The record is from RefSeq and is a predicted model, not a curated record. The transcript has 9 exons.